RNAcentral lists this long non-coding RNA (796 nucleotides) under Olea europaea subsp. europaea. The record is from RNAcentral. Lineage: Eukaryota; Viridiplantae; Streptophyta; Magnoliopsida; Lamiales; Oleaceae.
GUUGACAAAGGGUUUACAGAAUACUCACAAUGGCCAUGGGUGAGGAUGGGUGGGGUUUUUUUUGGCAAUAUUUUACCCACAUGGUGUGGGGAAUUGUUCCGUAUACAUUUAGUUUGCACAUACAGACUAAUUGAUUGAUUGUUUCCCGGAGUCAUAAUGGGUCUCAUCAAUAGGCGCGUCGAGAAGCUCAUUUCCUGCACAAAAUUCUCCACUGGCUGCAACACACGCGUCCAGUGCUCAGGCUGCAACACACGCGUCCAGUGCUCAACCGUACAAGUUUAUGAAUUCUGGACAGGAGAGUGGGACACUGCCAUAUUAAAAGGGUGCUGCCAGAACAUGAAGUUUUAAGAAUCAAAGAAGUACCAUUGCAGCCUGAAACCAAUGAUCAAAUGUUUAGGAUCCUGUCUAGCAGUCUCUGUAAAAUCUUUCUGGGAGGAAAUCAGAACCAAGAGGAGUAGAAGACUCAAUUAACAUCAUUGAAAUUCAUAUGGCACGUAACCAUCCAACUUAAGAUCUCAUCUGUUCUGCUGGAAUUUGUGGCAAAUAUCCUUGGCAUCCAAAUGCCAAUGCCGCCCCUUAAAUGCCUCUACUGAAUCUACACAUCAUCAGUUCUUGCAGGUGCAAGUGUGGAAUCACUUCUGUAAUUUAUUUCAGGUUAGGAUUUCAAGCUUGAAGGUACUCAGUUGAAAUUGUGGGCAAGAGACGUGUUCGUGAAAAUUUGGCUAGUAUAUGAAAUCGUUGACAAAUAAUACGUGAUAAAUCACAUAGUUGUGAUAAGCAUCAAUGUUUAUCGAGG